RNAcentral lists this ribosomal RNA (220 nucleotides) under uncultured bacterium. RNAcentral's name for it is "partial 16S ribosomal RNA". It matches the Rfam family "Bacterial small subunit ribosomal RNA", at positions 524 to 740 of the family's 1533-position model. The record is from RNAcentral.
UACGGAGGGUGCAAGCGUUGUCCGGAAUCACUGGGCGUAAAGCGCACGUAGGCGGAUCUUUAAGUCAGGGGUGAAAUCCCAAGGCUCAACCUUGGAACUGCCUUUGAUACUGGGGAUCUCGGAAGUCCGGAAGAGGUGAGUGGAACUGCGAGUGUAGAGGUGAAAAUUCGUAGAUAUUCGCAAGAACACCAGUGGCGAAGGCGGCUCACUGGUCCGGUAC